Molecule: long non-coding RNA, 204 nt
Filed under: Gossypium barbadense (sea-island cotton)
Lineage: Eukaryota; Viridiplantae; Streptophyta; Magnoliopsida; Malvales; Malvaceae
Description: long non-coding RNA (GBAR_LNC021793)
Source: RNAcentral
UUAAAUAGAGACUUUUGCUCCACUGAAAUAAGCACAUUAAACAUGAAUUAAUAUCCCAAAAAUAUUAAAACACGAAAUAAACAUACAUAAUUGAGAACAUGAAUCAAGUAUUUAUCAUGUAAUGCAGAAAUCAAAUAAUAAGAUUCAUCACGGGUUUCAUCUUCCCUAGGUAUUUAGGGAUUUUAGUUCAUAAACUGAAAUGAA